This is a long non-coding RNA of Dromaius novaehollandiae (emu), 28828 nucleotides long. RefSeq lists it as uncharacterized. The transcript is spliced from 7 exons. NCBI's taxonomy places the organism in Eukaryota, Metazoa, Chordata, Aves, Casuariiformes, Dromaiidae. The record is from RefSeq and is a predicted model, not a curated record.
AGCGACAAAGCCGUGAAGCCACGUUAGGAGCAGAUGUACUGCAUGUUUUAUAAGCCUUGAAGGACUUUUUCGGUUGCGCCUGAUGGACUCGCAUCUGCACCUGCAUCUGUACCUAGUGAUUUCUGGAGGAUGGUGUCACUGAUUUCAAACAGCCUCUUUGGGGUCCCAUCUUGCCUGCUAAUGUCACUGCGAAGACACCUGCACAGCACGCAGAAGAAUAAUAGCGACAUGUGAGCGUGCAGUGGGGGCUGGCCUAAAUUUAGCUUUCACAGAGCCAUUUGAGGCAGACAAAAUGCUCUUAUUUUGUGGGGCAAAACGUAAUAUCAGGGAAAGCAUCAGAACAAACUCCAAGCAGCUGUGUCGUCUGAAGCAAAAAACCCCCCUAAAUCCACAAAACUUCAGCGUGUGAUGGGAAGACUGGCAACAUCUGGUAGUCAGGCUAGGAGGUGGGGAGCGGGAACAGCCGAAAGACUCCUGUCUUCCCCUAAAACCUUAGUAUCCCUGGAAACCGCCGUCAUCUCUGUCUUUACCAGGCAUUGGAAAGAAGCGACCUGGUACUUCAGUCACUUGAACCGUUCUGGAUGUUGAGCAGGCUCCUGUGAAUAUGAAAUUUCGGGAGAAGACAGGGAGCAACUUGUCCUCGGGGCCGCUUUCCCUCCCGUUGCUGCGCCUGGGCCGUAGGUAGAUCGCGACCUCGGCAGGGAGGCAGAGCCACUGCCUUCGCACAGCAUCUGCACGUGGAGGCUCUAAUCCUCGUCGAAAGCUGCGGCUGUAUGUUCUGCAAUGUAAACGAAUAGCUCUGGCGAUGCUCUCCCUGCUUCGCAGGCAUGCAAACCGAUGGAUUUAGUUACUUAACCGAGUUCAGACUUUCGUCACUUACGGAGCUGCUUACGGACUGGAGUAACGAUGUCAAGAGCGGACAGCGUGAUGGAAACUUGGCAAGCAAAGCAAGGUUACGUGAUACAUAAAUUCAUAGGUACAGACCUGAGUGCAGUGCACACAUUUCUUCCUCCUUGGCAAGGAGAAACAUUCAUAAGGACUUUGACAAGAAUAUCAGCCUCUUAUGAGAAGGAAUGAAGUGAAAAACAUAAUUUCAGGAGCUCACCUGCGGUUUGUGGUGUUACCAGGGCACUUUGGGUCUGAGUUACUCUGCGCUCUCCGCUCCCCUCCUGCAGCUCCUCCAAGCACCAGAAGCUCCAGAGAAGAAAUGUUGCUGAAUGGAGAGACUUUGGUCCAACUGAAAAAUACCAGUGGUGCUCCUUGAUCCUACCAUCUUCCAGUCUUUGAAGAGACCUUGGUGCCACGUAGAGACUUGCUGGCUCCAGGGACCCCAGCCUCGCUCUGUGGCAGGGAACGAGCCUGGCACAGCGCGGGCCAGGAGGGAAGAGCGUGCUGCUGCGUCUCAGGGCUCCUGCCUGGCGAUAGCAAGGUGAGGCCACAUGCUGAAGAAAGGCAGCUGUGCAUCAUAUCUGUGACGUGUCCUUCAAAUAUCGUAAAGUGUUUCGGCUUGCUCACAGAAGUAUGCGCUGGGCGAGAGACGGAUAGGCAGAGCAAGAGGGCAAUCGCAACGCGAGGCGCCAAGAUGAGAAUCUUUGGUUCAGACGGAGCCCCGGCUGCUAUUACUCCAUUUACCAUUCCGAGAUUUAUCACAGGAUUCAGGUUUUUACAACUAUUGUUUGUCAUCAAAAGAACUCCAAAUAACUUUUUUUUUAAAAAGGUUCUUGUGCCAGACAGCAUUUGGCCUCCAAAGCUAUUUUAAAGGUGGGCAGAGACAGACCAAAAUCUACAUUUAAACUUUAUCCAAUAUUGUAUAUUCAUAACCCAAUCUUUCCUUCCUAUAGCACCGGAAAAAUACACUAUUUCAGUACUCUGUCAUUUUAAAACUUCAUAGUUGGAGAUAAUCACCCAAAUACAUAAUAACAACAUCAUACAAGUACCAGAAAAUAUGUUUGAAAUUUCCUUUUUAUUGUAACAUAAGAUAGUGCUUCCAAAAUCCCAAACUGAAUUGCUUUUCAGUAGAUAAGCAUCAAAAAAUACAUUUCCUGCUUUCGGUGAAGGUGCAAUAAGGUGCUAUAUCAGUGUAAUAGUUCAGAAUGAUAUGCUCUAGUAGUAUUUUGAUGAAUUACAUGAUUAUAGCUAAAAUGAACACUUUCAUCAUGCCUGAAUUAAUAAUGGUGGUAUGAUUUGGCAAGUACUCCUGCAGUGUUCUUUAACUCAUCACUUCAGAAGACAGAGUUUUCGAGCCCAUCCUUUGUCUCUGGGAAACACAGGAAUCCUUUACGGUUUAGAAACACAAGAAGCAGGAGAAAUGUGACAGCUUUAAAGGAGAAAAAGAAACUAAUGCAUGCAUACCUUCUCAAGCUCAUCAGGGCUUAAUUGGUUUAUUUUUCACUGCCUUAUUCCAAUGUCUCGGGCAGCGAACACUGUGUCAAAAAGAAAAAGAUCGGUAUUUUUUGUGAGAAUAGGUUUGCUGUAUUUUAUUUCAAAUAUUGUGCAUUUCCAAAUCAGUCUACAGACCUUUUAAGGACUUCAUUUUCUGUUAGGUUAUCAGUUUUACUUCAGAUCUAGAUUUAGCUGUAAUCGGUGUGUUCACUUCUGUGUCUUCCAAGUUAGUUAGUAUAUGAACAAACCCACACCAUAAUUUUAGUUAUUCUGCGUAUGGCUGUGUGUUGAUGUGCCCAUUUCAGGACUUCUCUAGGUGAUCCAAUGGCAUGCAUUAAAAUUCCUCAGACUGGGGGCUUUCAGGUUAAGUUCUUCCGUAAUAUUGUGAGUAUGUGUGUUGGUGCAGCAAUAAGAAAAAGCUGCCUUGCUGGGGCCAUUAUAGUAUUUUUUUGUGGGUAAUAAAUGAAGGCUCUGAGUCUUUAGGGUUGUCAUCUAGUACCUUUAAUGAGAACUAAUUUUACUUGAAAUAAUAGUAAUAAUAAUCAAUCUGCUGUAGAUAAGAAAUGUAAACUUUUGCUGGCUAUUGUGAAAAAUGGUUAUGUACAAUACAUCAAAAACAUCUGGAACAGAUGUUCCUGUAAUUAUGAUGCACUUUAUGGUUAUGCUGCAUUCAGUGGCUUUUGCUGGUACCCACUGAAGCUGGGUAAUGUUACCAGCUUGUGCCGGUGCGUCCAACUGGAGGGGAGGAGAUGCUGUUUGGGGGCCUGUGCUCUCUGUUUUCCUAAGUGCUUGCUGUCCUUUGAAUUUUUGUUCUUGUUUAAUUAUUAUCCUUUAUGUCUGUAUCAAAUACUAAUUUUACUCUAUAAAAUAUCCCAAGUUUGCUGGUGCAGAAACUCAGACAAAUGUAAGGACACUGUUCUGAACUGAAGUUAUAGGAAAAGUAGUAUGUGGCACAUAGGAGGUUAUAACCACACAUCUCAGGUGUAGCUAGUUAGUGUAGUUAGGUGUUAGUGUAGUUGUACGUGCUGUGAUCUAUGCAGACGAUGGGGGCAAUCAGGUGCUCCCGGGGGCUCCUGCUCUGUUACCGCUCCUGCCUCCCACUCCUCUUGCAUUAGGUGCUUUGGCUACACAGUCAUUUCUGCUCUUUAGCAGGCUUUUUUCUUUUAGGUUUUGGUGCAGAAUAUAUUAAUUUCUGGCACUCUAAUAGUGUAAAACCUGUUAAUAGCUUGUGUAUAGAACCACCACACCGGUUUAGCUCCUGUUAUAAUGAAACAAAUUGUAAUUCUGAAUUGAUUUCUUCUAUGGAAAUACCAGCAAUAUAAAUUACAAUGUCACUAGAAUAAAAAAAGAGGGGGAAAAAAGCCCUUUUUACAAGCCUCAGGAUGAUAAUUUAUAAAUAAACUAUAACUAAGAAGCCUUAACAAAAAACCCCUAUGGAAUCUGGCAUUAAUAGCCUUUACUUUUAAUCUGAUACAAUAAAUCUUGUAGCUAUGCAUCCACAACAGAAAAAACAGAAACCAGGCCACGCUGGAGUAGGUAUGGGGGAGUUGGAGGGAAACAUGUCCUUUGCUAAUUAAAAGUAUAUGGUGAUUUUCUGGUAUUCCAAAGUCAACAAAUCAUCUCUGCCAAUUCGUAGCCAAUCAGCUCAUUCCAAAGGAGGUUUUUUUCGGUUGGACUCUUUGCCUAAAAGCAGUGCAGUAUUGUCAGAGUUUCUAAAUCAUCUGUUCCUUGCAGUUUUCGAUAGUCAUUUUGAGUGCUUGUCUUCAGAUCCCAAAAUGUUGUCAUUUCAUGAGUGUGAUCUUCAGUGAGUUUCUAGCUGUCUUGUGAAUGGCAGUGUUUUAAAAGCAAGUCUAAAUGCCUAAUAUUAACCAUUUUUAUAAUGUUAUGAAUUUUUAAUAUGGUUUUUGAAUGGGAGGAAGGAUGCUGUCAAUGAUUUGUCCAGGUAGGUAGAGAAUGUAAUAAGUUUCUGCAAUGUAAAUGGGGACAGAGAGGAGAAUGAGUGCCAAGGUGUCCUGUGGCACACGUUGGCUGGAGGACAGCACUGGAUGGAGACAGGUCCUUAACCACUUGUGUUCCUGCUAGUAGGUUGAAGAAAAUGCAUCUACUGCAUAUGGUGCACACCAAGAAUGUGAACUAGGGGUUUUUGUGGGCUCAUAGUGUUGCCAGCACCUGACAGUCAAAGAUCUUUAGCUAGAUAUGAAAAAAUCAUGCAGCAAUCUUAAAAAUGUAGUGUAAAAAUAAAAAUACAUUGAUGUCUCUAUUUGACUGCCUUAAGAAAAGCAGUAAUACCCAUAACAGUCCCACGCUAAUCACGGGAUUUUCUCAAUAGUGAUCAGGGCCUGGGGUUCAGAUUUAUCUAUUCUGAGAUGCUAAACUUUUGGAUAUUUUUUUUCUUAAGUCUUGAUAAUGGAAGUAAGAAUUAACUGUAUGUUUUACUCAGUCAUGAUGAGGAGCACUGAUAAAAUUUUGUAUUUCCAUGCUGGUCUGUGUCAAACUAAGAGGACUUGGACAGCAGGUUUUACCUAUGUGUCCCGCACCAACCGUAUCAGAGAAGACCUUGUUCUGGCUACAAGAUGGGUGAGUUCAAAGUGAUGAUUGUUCCUGCAAGAACUUGCUCUGCUAACAUGGAGGCCCAGAUUUGAGCCAAACUCUUUGCUUGACUCAUGAAUGGUAAUUUAGAUUAAGCAAACUGUCCAGCCCUUUAAACACUUUCGUGAUAUAAAUAAAGAACAAAUAUCUUGCAUCUGCAGAGGUUUCCAACACUUAGAUUAAAUAAACUUUCAACAGUCAGAUUAAAUAAAAGACAGUUUAAAAAUUUUUUUCUUCAUUUGUUUCUUGGCCAUUGCCAAAAUGGUGUGAAAGUAGUAAGUAUAUAGGACCAAUGAACUUAGUCACUGCUCGAAAGAAAAAGGAGAGUUCAUGACUUAGCUUUGAUAAAUAUUUAUAUAUUUUGAAAUUUGAACUUAUUUGGCAAACGCUAUGACUGGGUAGAUAAGUACACGUACCUGAUGCAGUCCUCUGACAGUAACUUAAGGACAAUACUUUUGAGCAAAACUGUAAAGCAAAGGCAUGCCUACCAUGAACCUCAGAAGGAGCUGAACAAAGAUAUUUAAGAGUACAGUUUGUCCUGUUACUUGUAUAUCUGAAAGGAAUUUCACAUGCCACAGUUCUACGCGUAUUUUUUCUCAUUUUAGAGCAUUAUUUUCUCCCUGAGUGCCUGGGGGCACACAGACGGUUUGUAUUGCAUAUGAUGGAAGUAUACUCAAAAAUAUUCCUCAAAAAAAGAAAACUUUAUAAAAGAGAAAUCCUACGUUCCUUUUGGGUAUUUCUGUGUCAUAGAUGAUAUGUAACAUGUAUGGAGCAUGUACAGUUUUUCAGCGUUGGAUGUAGUGCUGCUCAGUUUUAAAGAUCCCUACCAGGGGAGUUAUGCCAAGGCUUUUUGUGUAUAAUUUUUAAUAACAGUAACAUAAAAGUCUCAUUGUCUUAAGUCUAUUCCUAAAACAGAGCAAACCGAGAAACCCACAAAGUCAGUGGUUGGUUGACUCGUGCUUUCUGGAAUGUGAAAACAUCUGACCAAGAUUGUAUUAACUGAAGAUUAAGCGAAAAAGGAAAUUUCACCCUUUUGCAGGGCAGAGUGCUGCCAGGAGCAAGCAUUAUCCCAUUGUCAUGCGUCGUGCGUAAUUGCCGGUCUGAUGGGGAGCUCGGCGAUUAGCAUCACCCUUCUUCAACCAGGGACUGCAUAUGCCAGACCGCCGCCUGUUAUGUCAAGCCACUUAGCCAUGAACCAUCAGGGUGGAGAGUGUUACUAAACGCCCUUAUUUCUAGGUCACACAGAUGCAGAUCGUCCUGAAUAUUUCUCUGGACAAAUUGCUAAUCGCUACCUUGUUCAAAGUCUGUUGGACAUUUCCUGUGUGCGGCAGCUGAUCGGGAUUUUUUUAAAGCAGUACAAGCAAUAAUAUGAAGCUCAAGUAUGAGACCUUCAUAAAAUGGUGUAUAAAACAACCAAGUACAGUAAAUUAAACAUGAUACUCAUUACAUAAAUACAAUUAUAUUUAUCAGCCUUUUAUAACCACACAAAGCAUUUACCAGUAAGAGUUAUUUUGGAGUAGAUAAUUCCCAAUUAACUUUUACUACUUUAUUUUUGCUAAUUUAGUUAGAUUUAAUUUUUCAAAUAAAAAAAAACUGUAUCAAAUGGCAUCUCUAACUAUUACACUGGAGAUGAGAUAUAAUUAAAAUGUUAUGUGUAUGGAAUUGCAGCUGAUGGGAACCUCAGCUUAAACUCUUAUUUUUGUCUUUAUUUGAUUGUUGCCUGCAUUGCAUAGAUAACAUGAUUGAAUUGCAAGAUGGCUGCGUGCCCACAGUGACAACAGCGUGAGCUUGGAGAAGAGAGUGAAGGAAAAAGCUUGAAACAAAAAUUACCUGCAAAACGGGACAGAUCAAGGUUUGGCCUUAAAUGUACUAAGGAAUGCUGUGGGAAGUCCUUCUCUGACUGUAUAGUUUUCUUUGGUAAAGCCGAACUUUGGCCUCUUGCAAGGUUUGGGUUUGCUUGCUCUGCACCUAGGGAAUGUCCCCACCUCCUAAUGUGGCUGACUGUGCAGCACAAAGAAGACUCCACCUAAAAUUGCCACCAAAAUUACAGCUUCAAGCCAAGCCAGCUCUGUUGGGUAAGGUGUCCUACCCAGCAAUCUGAGGUUUUUUGGUCUCUUUUCGGCUGCUUGUUUUCUUCAGGAUGGUGUUAAUACUGGGGAAGAGGCUCUUUUGGGGUGGGGGAUACAGAUGGAAUCCAUUGAGAAAGUCUCUUUAUGGUUUUGUUGUGGGUUUUUUUUUUAAUCCUUCAAAAUGAAAAGAAUCAGCCAUUCUGAGAGGGCUUCCAACCUAGUUUUCAUUUUUCUGUUUCUUUCCUUGUCUUAAAAACAUAGUGGAAACUGAGGGUACUGGAUUCAGUCAUCUCAGUUCCACUAUAGACCUGCUGUGUGUCAGAUUCCCCAUCCGAAAAACUGGAAUAAUACAAUUAUUCUUCCAAGGGAAGGGUUAACAUUUGGGAAGGGCUCUGAGGCCAUUUCCGCAGGGUGCGAUGCGAGAUGGCACCGAUGCUGAUCAGCCCUUUCAGGGUUAAAUACGCUGAAGGUGGUUGCUACAGCCGUGGAGGUACAGCUUUUGGGUCUGGACGUAGCUUGGGGGGGUUGUCGGACCUCGGGCCAUUGGGUAGACACGCUCGGUGGCUUUUCACAGGGGAGGUGCUGUGGUGAUGCGUAAUCUUAUUAAACCAAACCUCUCUUAAUUUCAUCCGUCACUAAUAAUUAAAAUGUAAAUGCAGUGUUGCUAAUUGUGUUUCAGACAAUAUGAUUUUAAAAUAAAAUAAAUGUGAACUUCAGAUGUUCAACACAGCUUUAAGACAAGAAUUAAUGUGUUUUACCAGAGAAGGGGGGCUUAUGCUGAGGGUAAAUAUCAGAGCUAUCUUUCUAAAGGCUUACAGUUACAGUUACAGAUGCCCUGUUCAUUACUUUGGAUGUGUCACAUUUGCUAGUAUGACAAGAUGUAUUAUGGACGAGGAAUUUUACAGAUGGAGAGAAAUACCCAUGUAAGUUGUUUAUUUGAUUUUUUUCAAUAUUUUUCCUUUUCCUUUUACUACCCUGGCCAACCUUGGGAUAAUGGAAUUAUUUUAUGCCUUCUGCACUAUCAUCAGGCUUUGGAUGGCUGCACAAAGGCCACUGGCAACGGAAUAAGAUGGCUGUAAAAAAAUGCAAAAAAUUGGGAUAGAAAAAAAAGGUACAACCAAUAACUUGCCCUUAAAUUUAAAAGGAACUAAAUGAGGAACUUCUGGACAAUUUAUCUUGCUGUUUACAGAUAACAAGUCACUUUGUUUUUAUGUGCUCAGUCUAGUAUUCCAUAAUUUAUUUGAAAGAAGAUGAGAAAUAAUGUAGAUAAAUGAUGAAGUGUCAGGGUCUGACGCUCUUAAAUGAAGCUAUUAUGGUCAAAGAGAAAACGUAAAACCUGCGGCUCAUUAUGAGAGCGUUCUACUUGUCAGUUAAGUGAAAAGGCCUGGAAUGAUUUCCAGUUUAUUUGUCAUUGCAGUUAUUAAAGCUGUCUUUUUGGUGCCAUGAAAAUGAAUUGAAGACUUUAUUCGAAGUAAAUUUGUACUAAAGCUUUCAGAUGUAUCUUAUGUGAGUUCAGUGAGGCAAGAAAACAGCUUAAAAGCUGAAAUAUUACAAGAAGGCAACUACUGAAGUCCUGAAACACACAAGAAUAUAAAGUCUGAGGAAGUUACACAGAUAAAUGAAGUAUUUCAUCUCUUGGGAAAUAAAGCUUAGUUUUACUAUAUUGUACACUUAGACAAAGAAAUCAGCCCUUGUUAGUGGCAACAAAAUAUUGUCUUUCACGGCAUAGUGCGUGGUGCUCACUUUUAUAUCGAGCUAUUAAUUUUGGGAUGACUUUACCAGAGAAGCGGAGCUUCUUUAUGCCGUUCUGCACUUUGCGGGUCUCUUGGUCAAACGGUAGAUAUUAUUUAUAGUAACGGCAAAGUUAGGGGGUUUUAUGGUCAUCGUGGCCAAUGUGGCUCAACGACAGAACAAGAGAGAGCACAGAAGAUGAGGGGUUUGGUGAGACCAGCCCGGUCUGACCCGUUCCCCGAAUUGAAUGACCGGGCUAGAAGACACCACGUCUGGCUACAUGGGAUGGGAGAUGUUAUUGGCAUUUCUCUCUCUCCUCACCCAGUCUUAAAACACUUCGCGAGCCUUGUGUAGCUUGGAUGUUAGAGUUUUAUUUCACUGCUGAACUCAAGCUAGCCCUACCACUGAGGCAGUCAUUGACACUCGCUUUAUUGCAAAUCCCUUCUUGAGAUUCCUUCUACUAAACUGUACAUCUCGAAUUUAUGUAGAAAGCUUUGGUAGGUUUGUUUUAUUCUGUCUAUUGCUCUGGACUUCUUUUCCAGUAGUUAUGUUCCCCACAACUGCUUCGUAUUUGCCAAGACAAAUUAGUGUUAUACUGAGUUUGGACUGUCCAAAAGGAAAUUAAGAGUCUUUUUUAUUUUAAAUUGAAAGCUGUAGGAGCACUAAACCGAAUACUUAACUCCAAGCUCCAGCAGUCUUACAGCAGUAUAGUUGACACUUUAUUGCAGAUAUUACAAAUGUUAUGACAUGUCUUCAGGGUCAAGUUAAAAACAAAAAGGGUUCCACAUUCUCAUCAGAAGUAAUCUGUCAGUUUUGUCAUCAGAUAUUAUAGCAACCCUCAGUAGCAGCAUCACAGUCAAGGGUUUAUCAGGCUCUGUAGUAUAUGUGUACAUACUCUGAUUUCCAGGGGUUUAUAUCUGCAAUAAAAAUUCCUUCUGGGCUAAAACUUGGCAUUCAUAGCCCAGAGCAAUUGUUUUUUAAUUAAAAAAAUAGUAUAAGUGAAGGUUUUCCUGAAAGAUAAGAGCACAAAAAAAUCUAUUUUAAAAAUACUUUAAAUCUUUUAAACUGGCAAACUUCAGAUAUUUAAGAGGCCAAGUCUCUUUGCAUAAGAGACUGUUAAAAGGGCAACCCAGGAAGGGGCGAGGUGGUGGAGCAGACAAGUGCUUUGCGGUCAUCGUGAGUGCAAGUGUCGAGCAUUUGAUGAGAUGUAUAAUUAGCAACACGUUUGUAAAGCUCUUGGUGUCUUUUUCUAUUGAAACGGUGUGUGAGGGAAUUAGAACCUCUGGUGCACAAAUAUACAUCAUUUCUUUCUUGCCACCCCCUGGCAUGGUCCCGCAGAACAGCACCUAUAUGGGGAAGCUCUUUGGGUAAGGCAGACCUGCCGACACACGUGGUACCUCUGUGCUGCACAGAAACCCAGGACUUCGUUUUCUACAGCUGCCAGUCUGGUACUUUUUUGCUUCUGUUUCCAUUAUGGUAGCAACAUUUUCCAUUUAGAUGGAAAUGUGAGAAGGAAAGCAAAGCAAAUAAUAUGCCCUUGCAAAUAAUGAUAUGGAGGGGAUGCAAAAUGUGAGCGGUUACUGUACUGAUGUUCAUCAUGCUGGUCAAGACCAUUAACCUUGAGUGUUCAUUAUUGCUAGGUGAUGUUGGAGGGUUGGUCUUUGAAUAUAUGGUGAGGAAAGUAGAAGCACCAUAAAGAUAUAGAGAAGUUUGUAUUAAACUGUGAUGCAAGCUGUACUGUCUCUUAUCACUUCAAAAAUUCCAUCCUUAAGCCUUUACUUGGAUGCCCCAAACAGACAUUAUAUAAGUAUUUGGAAGUGCUCCGUGUAAUACAGUGUACUAUAAUACCAAGCCGCGGGUGCCACCUGGUCCUAUUUAGAGUCUGUGGCUCAGGGACUCCUGUAACUACUAGGGCAUAUUAAUGAGUCACCCGGGGCCUCCGUAAAGUGCUGGCAAACCACUAGGAAAUGAGCACUGCUGUGUAACAGGAAGGGACCACACUACAGUAUAUGUCUGCAGAUUAUUAUGUUGCAAUUCAGUUGACUUCCUAAGAGGAAAAGAAAAGAAAGUGAGUAAAGAAAAUCAACCCUGGGAGUGUUCUCUGCCGCGUGAAAGGAGAAUCGUCCUCAAAUAACCCUGCCGGUGCUCCAUUAGCGCUCUCACAGAGGCCGACCUCUUAAAGCAAGGUGAAAGCACAGCUAAGGCCUUCCAUUAGAGGAGGAUAAAUGGGCUCUGGGAAGAUGCUUGGUGUUUUCCGUUGAAUUCAGCAGCAACUGGAGAGCCCUCAGACAUAGCAGUGGAGAAGACCCUGCCAGGGUGUCUGCUCCGAGGGCGUUGCUCUUGAGCUCUUCCCGCGCGAGCACCUUGCCUUUGCCAGCAGAAGCUGCUUCCAAGAACUGUUAAGAGACUGCUAGGAAAAAAGACUGAGGUCAGGCAUAGUCUAAUUUAGUCGUGUUUUGUUUUAUCCUUUUUUUUUUUUUUUUUAAUGUGUGUGACAAAUCUAUUGCUUGCUAUCAAGAGUUUAACUCUUGGCUGGAACACAACUUCUUUUCACGCUGAAGUUCACUGUAGUGCUAAAGGUGAAUUCAAAGGAUUUUGAGCAGUCCAAGGCACAUAUUUUCCCACGGGCAAUGGAGCGAUACCGCAGAGUCUGGCAGGGUGUCCCAGGGCAGGCCAGCUUGGGGAGCUGAGAAAUAGGUGGGUGUUUCUUGGCGGGCUGCAAGAGUUGGGGGCUGCUAGUGCCAAGAUCCAAAAUACAGGAGUUUUUCAGGAGUUACUCAGUUGCUAUCAAUGCUGGGGAGACAUGAGCCAGCACCGAGUAAAUCUCUUCAUCACUGAUAGCCAAAGAGGGCAGGUGUGACUCUGAUCUUUCAGUGUAAUGUAUUAAGAAUAUUCUUCCAGUUAACCUAUUUAUAAUAACCUUUAGCAAAUAUGGAUAGACCCACAUUUUCCACAGUAUGCUUAUUUUUUAGAUCUGUUUUUGGAUUUUUAAAAGCUGUUCCUAUUCUUAGUGCCUUUGGACGUAUACUGAGAAGGGGACACCCAUUAGCCAUCAACUGCUUCUGCAAAGUCAGUUCACUCACCCAUAUGGCAUUUGUGGGCACUGGAUUUGAGUGAGCAUAUUUAGGUACAUUAGUUUCACUGACCACUGAGGCCUAUUUCAUACCUGCCCUGUGGCACAAAUUCCCCUAGUUUCAGAUGACAGCUUCCUACUGUCUGCUAUUAGAUCUCUAGAAAUGCAUAAUGUUUCCAAUAUCUGGGUAGCUCCUGAUGAGUUCGAGGUAAAGGAUGCUUUUGGAAGAAGGGGACUAUUUGAAUUGCAAAGGCUUGUAUUUAAAACCAACAACACUGCUUUUCUUUUUGCUCUAGCAAAUGCAUAGAUGAAUGCCGUUCUGUGACGCUGUAAUAAACUUCCAGUUUCUGCAUCAAGCAGACUACAGCUGAUGGUGACAAGUUUGAUCCUCUACAGCAAGAUAUAAUACUGAUGGGAUGGAAGAUGAAGGGACUGUCCCAAGGGAAGGAAAAUGGUUUCAGUAGAGGCCCAUAAAUACAAAUCUAAGUACUCUUUUUAGUAGUGCUGGUCUAUUAUUACAGCCUAAAGGAGGUUCAUUUAAUUAAUAAUUAAGCUCCUCAUGUUCAUGUUGCUGUCAGUAUGAACCUUAGCAUUAGAAAUGGCCAGGAUUUUUUUUAUAAUGAAGCAGUUGCAUGACAUGGCAAAGAGAGCACCAUAAAAAAAAAAAAGCCAAAACUUUUGCCAGAAACAUGUGCCUGUUUUCUAAAGUUUCUUCAGGUGCAGGAAGGAAUUCCUGAUUAAAGCCAGGCAGAAAUCCACACCAGACUAGCCCGCAUCAAAUAGCCACCACAAUUAUCCUCAGCUUUAAUGAGACAGCAUAGAGGCAAUGAAUGUAUUUCAAAUUCCCUCGGCAUCAAACUCCUUACUGCUCGGAAUGGCCUUCUGCAGUCUCUCCAUUUAUAUCUGCUCCAACGUGAUUAAAAAAUCAGGCCAGGGUUGUUCUUCUGUGCAUUUCAGGUGAUCACCAGCCGUGGAUGCUGUCCGUCUGUCCGUUUGCCCGGCCGGCCGUGAGCCGUGGUCCCUGGCUGUGGUGCUAGACCCCAGCUGCCUCCGGCCCCCUUCGCUGCGCGCUCCUUCUGGGGUUUGGACAAAUUGCUUCAUUUCCCAGUCUAUAAAUUCUAGCGAUAGCAGCUAACUCACUGGGAUUUUGCAGAUGGCAACCCACAAAUAUGUAUGAAGUGCCUGUAGAGUGCCUUGGGUUUUCUAGGUGCACCUUGCUACAGAAAUGCAAAAUGUUCUUGGUCUUGAAAUAAUAUUAUUCUGUAUUUUCAUCUGUAUUUAACCAAUUUAUGUGAUUAAGAGCUGGUUUUGCUUUGUAUUGUUUUAUCCACAUUCCUAUUUCCUUCUGUGUUAUCUGUUGUGUUGCAGUUCACCAGCUUAUUUGGUUUUCUCUUUAAUCACUGAUACGACUUGAUUCGAAACCUCUUUGAGCAGCUUAUUCCGUGUGGCAGCUGUACGCCAACAGAGCAGUUUUGCCUCUCUGUUACUGUGUCAGGCCAUACACCUUCUUCUUCAGGGUGCAGAAAGAGGGAGAAAAUACUCAUUCUUGAGGCUUGGUGGUUGCUACCCUCCUAACAGGGUGGACUGUGGACCGUAAAUCUUACACAGCAUGCGAGGAAAAACUGUUCACAUAUCCUAUCAUGAGCAUUAAUUAAUAGGUUAGCGUGGAUCUUUCUGUAUUGUUAUUAUGCAGGUAAGCUUUAAAAGGCGGUAUAUUGUGAUUUUUCAGGCUCCUGUGCCGUCUGGGACGCAGAAAAGGUUGCUCCUGGGCGGCUGGAAAGGAGCGGUCAGUCCCCGCGCUCGGCUGCCGGGCUCCCGCCUUGGUCCCGUGCCCGGGGAUGGGACGAUUCGCUCUGCCCUUGCAGGGUGCGAGGCUGGGGGCAGUCUGGCGGCACAGUAUUAAUAACCCGGAUGCGGAGGAUCAGGGUCAGGAAGAAUUUUUUAUUUUGCUUGAUGAUGUCACCGGAGAUGGGACUUUAUUUAUUUAUUUUCUUAAGCCUGUGCAGCCAAGUCACACCGAAUAUAAGCCGGCUUGUCUCAUUGUGGACGGGGAGGAUGAUCCAAUAGUUCAGAGUAAAGGAAUAAUAGCGAGGAUAGUCUGUGAAAAUGGUAUGUUAGAAAACGAGGGACAAAAUUAAAGUUGCUGAUCACCUGCCUUUGCUGACAUUACUUUAUAAACUAGAGACUUUACUAGAAAAAAAAAAAAAGAAAAAGAUAGUAAUUCUCUAUACUGCAUAGUCUUUAGCUGAGUGCAUUGAAUUCAGCGGUGACUGUCCUGUAAAGGUGAUUAGAAGUGUGGCAUCAUCAGCGUCGAUAAAUAAGCUAUUAAAGUUUUGAGAGUCUGAGAAACUGGGAAAGCAUAGUUUUGAUUUUUUCUGCCAAACUGCCUAAGUGCAAUACAUUCUGGAUGGAGCCCAGGAGUCUUCUCUCUCGCCCGCGUCCGUCCACGCAGGGCAGCGUUUCUUGGGGCUCUGCCGGCUUUGGCCAGCCAAGCGCCCCGCUCCGGCUUUUUACGGGAACAGUGCUGGGAAGCGGCUCCUUCCCAAGACGAUCUCUACUGCCUCUCCUUUGGCUCGUCUUUCUAACACGUGCCUUCUGCCCCAUCUUUCACAUAAAUUACUUUGUACGCAGGUAUCAUUAAUGAUGCAAGUAAAAAUCGUGCAUAAGGAUUUCUCACUUCUGAAAGCUCGGGAGUUCCCUUUUCUAUGAUUUUUUUAGCAUUGAAACAUUAAUUAGUAAAAUAGGUAGCAUAGUGUCACUGCAUCUGUGUCCGUGAAAAGCAUUUGUAUAACGCAAAAAUAAAAUGAUUUUUCAGAAGUCUGGAAAGCUCUAAGACAAAAUUUAAAGUUAAUUUGACAGGCAAGAUUUAAAGAUGGAAUGCAUCUAAAAUUUCAUUUUCUUAUAAUAGCAUUUCCAUGUACAAGUGGAUUUGCAUCACGAUAAUGUGCAGAUAACCUCAUGAAGUAAGUAGAUGGUCUCAUUAGCAAUUUCAUGUAAAACUUCGGUGUUAUUCCAACUUACUGAGUAGUGCUACGGUGGUGCUCACCGCCCUAAAAUAUGCAAAAUUAAUAGGGGGAACAUCAGUAAAAAUGGUUCCAGAGACAUCCAACCUGCAAAGAUAGAAAUGAAUUAAAGAGAAAAUCUAUGACAUUUGACUGCUCUUUUUUCCCUGCCUGAUUUAUCUAUAAUUCAGACUGCUUAACUUAACUUAAAUACAGAUACCAUAGUUGGAGUAUUUGUUAAAGCACUAAGCUGACAAGUACAGAGCGCUGGCCAUUAUUCCUGCUGGAGAGUCAGAGGUUUGAGCUAUUCAUUUUGCGGGCCGACACUCAGCACCACAAUUCCUUGAAUUCCCAAAGCUUUUCAUACGGCUUCCUCAAGGACAGCUAUCAUGUCUUAGCUGCUGCAGUGACAGAUGGGAUACAAUGUGUCAUGUGAUGGAUAACGCUGGAGCCACAGUACUUAAUCCUUCUAAUACUAAUAGCGGCAUUAUCAUAGAGAUUUAUGAGAAUGUCAGUUCCAAGUUCCCAGUUCCAUUCAUGGGUUUUUAAAACUUCAGCUGCAAAAAACAUGCAUCCAUCCCAUUAAUUCUAAUUAUCAUGGUUCAUCUUCUCAGCAGUUUUGUACUCCGGAACCUUUCAGUGCAAAUUAACGUACCAAAAAAGUGUAUUAAUUAAUAUUUGUAGCUUUUAAUUUCUGCAAGAGUGUUGUCUGGAAGCAGCUGGCAGUACAGGGCCGCUGCUAUUGAAUCUUUGCCAAACAAGUGCAGAUGUAAUUUUGUUAUCUCUUGCUUAGUCAUUUACGCAAAUUAAUUUGAACAAUUAGCCUUUUACUGGUCCUUCAUGAAUCAUGCAAAAGGGAUCUGCCAAAAAAUUGCUAGUUGACAGAAAAGAAUUGGUUAACAUUGUAAAUCUUAGAAAAAGGUAUUACUAUGUUUAGGAUAAAGAACGACUUCAGUAAAAAUCUUAGUAAUUUUUUUUCUGUGACUUCUCUAUUCCACUUCAGACUGUUGAUGACUGUUGGAGAAAAAGAAUCUAAAAGGCAAGUAGGCUGUAGAAAUUUGGGAAGUUUGUUUUGGGUGAACACCAAGAAGGAAAGAUUCUUGACUAAACGUUGGCUUGUCCACGUUGCUUGUGGGGUUGUGCCAGGCUUCCUUGGGCAGGGUUAAGUUGGACAUACCAAAGCAAAGCGUUUGCUCAUGGUCUGAAAAAACCCACAUCCUUGGUUUCUUCGGACACCGUCCUAGAGGAAGUCUGUUUUCUUACCCAAGUGUCCCUCCUCUGAAUAAAACAGGCUUCCACGUGCCCACUGCAGCCUUGAUCUCUGGAGAUGCUAGGUUUUGCCUUCGGGUAACACAACAUGCCCAUGAGUUAAAAUGUUUAGGUGACUAUUGCAGAGAAUGCCUACUCAUAUGCCAAGGCCAGGCUUGAAUGACAGCAAACUCAGAUGUUUCAAGGAAUUGCAUCGUUGCUGUUUUCUUAAAUAUCCGACACAUUUUAGUCAGAUAGGCAAAAUUAUCAAGAUCACCAGUGAACAGUGCCCUUCAGAGACUUUGAAUAAUGCUGUGAGUGAAAAUCUCUUAUUUGCUGUUUACACAGAAGAUACAGUCACAAUUUUCUCAUAACUCGUAUAUAUUAUUUUUCUUUAAAUUGCAUUGCACAGAUAUGAACAUUAUGCUGGAUAUUCCUAGAUGCAACCUCUCAGGUAGAUUUUCCAAUCUGGCCAUGACAUCUCAGCUGCGUUCAUAAUUACCUGUGCCUUAGAUUCCUCUGUUAAGACAGUUGUUGCAGUUUUACAAUGUGAUGGGAGGUGCGUUAAGGAAAAAAAUCCCUACCUCGUGCUCUGGGAAUACAAUUUGCAUUGCGUUCAGAACCGAGUGCAUGAGAAUAAAGUUACUGAUGUAUUUAAGUGAAGCUUAACAAUUUUGUCUAACCGCUUCUCUGCCUCCUCCGCCUUGACAAGAGGGUGGCGCAUGGUGACCUACGUGGACAGUCAGGCUGUCACGGCUGCCACCCAACCUGUCUGUCUUGCAGAGCAGGCAAAGCUCGAUGGGUUUCCUUGGGCACUAAGGGCACUUUCAUCUCGGUUAGCAAGGCUUUCCUGAAGUGUUUGCCGUAGCUAGGCUGAUCAUGUUAGAAUUAAAUUGUUUGGUAGAAAUCAAGUUCGAGCUCCAACAAAUGAUGCGUCUCUGUUAACUGAGCCCCACAGUCCUGGGCGAAUUCCCUCACUGCGGCGUAGUAAGGUGUGGGUGCCUUCCUCUCAAAUUGUUUCUGUACAAGCUGCGCUUUCACAGCCUGUAUUGUUAUUUCCAUUUGUCCGUUUGAUUGCAGAGAGAAGAGACCAGAUGUUGUGUGACAAAUCAUAGCUAUUUGCAAUCUGUUGGAAUUCUUAUAAAUCGUACUGGGGAUCAUUUUCUGAUAACUGAUCCUGCAAUCACUUAUGCACGUGCAUCACUUAGAGCCUGAGAUGUCCUAUUGAAGAGUGUGGAUCUAUUCACACGCUUAAAUUAAGCACGCAUCAUGCACAUUUGUGUAAAUGUUUGUGUUGCAAAAUAUGCUGAUAUUUAGGAAUUGCCUGUUAGGUUCACCAUUGCAUUAACUUACAUGCAAUCAAAUCAUAUAUUAUUAUUACACUGUAAAAACCGAUAUCAGUUAAUGUUUUUAUUGUAGUAUGAAAUAUAUGGCUCCAAAUUUCGCUUAAGUAUAUCCUGCGACCAAGAGAUCCCAUUCUGUUUACUGAUUUGCAAUUCACAACAAAUAGUUCUUUCGGUAAAGUGCAUCAAGCCCAACUCUGUUAUCCAUCUGUUUUUAGGGCGUAUGGCUAAUCAAGGAAGUGGUCUCUCACUGACACACUGAGAAGAAUGAAGUUAGUUCCUCCGUAAUUGAAAGUAUCAGUAGUAAACUUGGCUGGAGCUUGAUUAAUGGUAUAUUAAAAUCAGAGUCUUCAUGGUGAGUGCUAGAUAAGGAGUUUUGGGCAAAUUACUUGGUUACUGGGAAGCCUUUAAAUUUUAAUCAUGGAGACACUUCAGCAUCAUUAGGAACUGAAAAAGACAAUGGGCACUGCGAGGAAGUUAUGUGAAUUGAUGUGCUUUUCAAUCUCUUCUUCUGUGGUGAUAUUGAGUGAUGCAUGGGCUGCAAUUGAGAAUCCUCUUGCUCCCCAUGCCUUUGAUUGCUGUUGUUAUAAUUUAAUAUUAUACAGUUCUUUAUGAUCAUGGAAAUCAGAUGAGUUAGUUGCAAAAGAUGGAAGGUUUUAGUAUUAGAAAAAUUAGUUUAACAUCACAGUUUUUCUAUGCUAUCUGGCUGGGUAGCAAAAUGGAUGGAUGCUUUAACUUGCAUUUAGAAUGAGUGGGAAUAGAAAAACAUGCUCUUUUGCACACAUGUUUAUUGUUUAAUGUGAUAUCAACAUUAUGAACCUCAAACAUAUAUUUACACUUUAAUUUGAAGACUAUUUUUAUAUGGUGAGUAUGUGCAUAUCAGUAGAGUCUAAGGAUGCAUAUAUGUAAUGGCUAUGCUGCAUCUAUAUUUAUAGAGAUGUGAUAGAUAUAAUAGCUUUAUGAGAAUAUGUAUGGAAUGUGGAUGUCUCUCCUGGGUGACAGGUUCAAUUCAAGCAAGUGCCAGUAAAACCAAUACACUGCAUGCCUUCACUCACGUCUUUUCUUUCUGACUGGGACUUUCAAGGGACUCUAAGGAUGUUAGGUGCUCAGCUCCAAUAUCAUUCAAUGGGCUAGAAAUAUUCAGCAUAUUUGAAGUGACAGCAGGGGCUAUCAAAUUCAGUCCCCUGCUUUUCCAGGCAACUGUACGAUGGAAUUGAGUUCAUAAAGUGACCAAACUAAUUUAAAAUUAGGUCCUUUGUUUGCCUCCAUUACUACUAUAGGAGAACCUCUCUGCUAUCUGAAGAUGUCAUUUAGACAUAUUCUUCUAACAGUGAAAAUUUAUCUAUAGUCAGUAUAGGCCUAUUCAUAUUUGCACCAAUAUCGUCUAGUGAAUUUAAAUAGUUUUAAGUGCCAGCCUUCGUUCAUUUUGCUGGGCUAAAUAAAGCACUUUCUUUCCUUCCCAUCUCUUAAGAAAGGUUCACCUUUAGCCUGCCUAUCUCUGUAGGCCUUCUCUGAUCCUCUUCCAUAUUUUGAUCAGUUUUCUUCCUGUGCAUGAACAAUUUGAAGCACCAAGUUAUCCAGACAUGGUGUUAACACGGGCUUGCACAACUGCAUGAAUAUUCUCCUAAUGCUAAUGGGAAGACUUGACCGUUUUCUAUCCUGAGCUGAUCCAUUUGCUGUUGUGUUCAUGGUUGCACCACAUCGGUGGCUUAUUCCCAGCAUUUUGUGAAAUCUUUGCCUUCCUCUGCUAUUUCCAAGCAGUAAGUUCUGUCUGCAGAAAUACUGAUGAUUGUGUACUGAUACACAAUGAUACUGAUUAGUUUCAAAAUGGUGAACUUUCUGUGUUAUUCAAGUUUGUGUUACUAAAUUUUAUCCUACUUCUGUCAUUGUAGUCCCCAGAUCAUACAAUCUUACCUGCAUUCUGGUACUCCUUUGGGUUGGCAGUGUCUUCCAAAUUCAUGUCAUGAAAAAAAUUUAAUUGGUAUACGAGCAGUCUGUGUCAAAGUAAUUAUCAAAACUGUUAAAUAAAAUCAGUUCUGACACCUAGGCCAAGAGGGAUUAAAAGUGAUUUGUCCAAAGUCACAUUGGAGUGCCGUGAAGAAGAUGCUCUAAAUCCCAGUGUGUUCUCUAAAUUACAGAAACAUUCAUUUUCUUUCUAAAGGAACAUUUACUGGGCCAUGAACUAGAAAGCUGUAAGCUAAGAAAAGAUUUCUGUCUAGGAAAGAGAGAGCUUGUUGCAAACAAAACUACUCUUGCUCAGAUAAUGGUGUUUUGUAGAAAAAGAAACUUUUUGCAAUACGUGCAUCAGGCACUAUAGGAAAAGCUUGUUGAUCACACCAAAGGAAAACUCCCACGCAGUCCUGUUUGGCUGGAAAUUCAGUGCAUGAGACAUUUAUGUAGGAUGUAGGAAACAGAAGGCUAAGCUGCUGGCCUCAAGAAAGCAUCGUCCCAACCUCCAGGUAGGUCUUCUGUGCUCCCCGUGACCACCCCGUUCACCAGCCGAUUGCCCUGUCCUCUUCCUUACUCAUCUUUUUUGUUUUUUUGGUAGGGUCUCUUUGCUUGUUUUCACACGCACACGUAACUCCCAACAGCUUUGAAGGCUCUUGGCUUCCUGUUGAUGUGCACUAUAAACAUUUUUAAAACUAUGAUAUUUUUCAUGGAGCAGGAGCCCAUUCUCCACCCAGAACUGCCGCAGCCUGGAGGCCGAGUUCUGGCAAUGCAAGAGAAAAUGCCAGACCUGAAAGGGAGAGCGAGAAACAUGUCCUGGCAGGGUGAGUUGGGCUUUUUUUUUCAUUUAAUAAAUGAUGUGUACUUAGGGAUUUAGAAUAUUAGAACAAGUCCUAGGGGAAUAUGGAUUUAAUGGAAGGGGAUGAAGUUGUUGUGGAAACAUAUCUUUAUUCAAUUUUCUCAUUCGGGUGUUUAUUAUAUGAUUUAUAGAGACUUAAGCUUAUUAGAUGACCCUUUUUAAUUUGUCACAUAGUGAUUGUGUAUAUGGAUAUAGCCACGUUGCAGGUGUAUUCAGAUGCUCAGACAAAAUCAAAUGCUACAGGAAACCAUGCUGAUCAACUGAUCUACUUUCUUUUACAGUGAAAGCCCUAUAAUUUCAACCAAUAUUGGGUCAUUCCAAUACAAAUAUAUUCUGUGUAUACAGCAUAUAUUUCAGAAACGUUCUUGAGCUAUAUGAUUUGAAAAAAUACAUUGUAUAGUAUUAUGUAGAUUUUUUUUGGUGUAUUUGUGUAUGACCUAAUAUAAAUAGGACCGUAUUCCCAGUGGUAUAUAUUGUCCCGUGAUUUCACAAAUACAUCGUUUUAUGUUUACAAUGUCUAAUUGUGGGCUUAAAGCUGGAGAGAAAUUUGAGGCAUCUCAUAUAAAUAUGCACUGCUUAUCUAAUGUGGUUUAGAUUUGCCUAAUCAGCCUCGUUGAAGAGUAGCCUGUGUGUGACAGGCUUGGAUUAUUUAUUAGUUUCAGACUGUUGGUACAGAAGGAAGUAUGAAAAGUUGCAUUGAAAUGCAUCUUGCAUUUCUAAAGUGCAGGAAAGAGCUCAAAAGAUGCAGUGUUUUUAAUUGCCUUUGCAGCCCUCUGAAUGACUGAACCUGGAGGACGGCUGGAGAUUGUGGAGGCAUCUCGGCACUGCCAUGCGCCUGGCAGCUCUGUCUCCAGCCGUCCCAGUCCAUGUCCCACCCCAGCAUAGGGGCUAGUCCAUGGUGUUAUACUGACUCGUUUCCUAAAACCAUGUUUUUAUAUAUAUAUAAUUUUGGCAGUUCAUAGACUGCAGCUCAUUUCCUUAACUAACUUUCUUUUUCCCUUCCUUCCUUGCUCUCUUUCUCUUCCUCCCUCCCUCUUUGCUUCUUUCCUCCCUCCCUCCUUUCUUUCUCUCUCUCCUCUGCUCUGCUCUUCUUUCUUUUCUUUUCUUUUCUUUUCUUUUCUUUUCUUUUCUUUUCUUUUCUUUUCUUUUCUUUUCUUUUCUCUCGCCACAUCACUGGGAGGGGAGCAAAAAAAUCAGGAAAAGAUUCUGAUUAAAGAUCCAUCAUAAAUUAAUGAAUAAAAGUGUAAUCCUAGCACUUCAUGCUAGAGUGGAACAUUUUAAAAAAUCAUGAAGUGAAACAUAAGAACACUAGAAAAGUUUGGAUUGGGGUAUAGAAAUUAUUUGGAAGACUGUGUGCUAAUCAGCAGCAAAUGUAAGAACCAGCUAGGUUGAUAGGGCAGUGAAUGACUUGUAUUUUUUAUAUUGGAGUUUUUCAAUCAGCAUUUUCUGAACAUGGUUUCUCAUUAUGAUAAUGAUGAUGGGAUUAAUUAUCACCAUGAGAACAAGCGAUAAUGGUACUUUGAACUGUAUUUGUCACCAUAUGACACAGACUAUUACUUGUUUUUACAUUCUCCGGGACGCGUGUGCACUGAAAGGGGCUGACCUGUGUGCUGGACGGCAGACUGGCCGGUGAUGAGAUGUCGAAAGAGGACUAACACCUGCCUGGGCAGGAUUUCUGCCCUUUUCCAUAUUCGUUACCUCACUGCAUGAAGGGAGCACCAGGAAAAUCAUUGAAAUUAGUCCUUGGGAUUAGUAUUCAGUUGCAGAGAGUAGUUUAAACAUGACAACUUUGUUUCUUGCCUUAUUUUAACACUUCAACACGUUUACAACCUUUAUAUUAUUAGGGAGAGGAGACUUCUCCAUACAAAUCCUGUUCCUAAAGGUGUCAUGCAAUUUAAUCACUAAAAUAGGUGGACUCUACAGUGAUUAGAUAUAUUUUUAUUUUAAAUAUUAUAUAUACUGCAUGCAAAGAAUAUUGAAUGUGAAAAUUUGGUCUCUUACACUAAAUAAAUGAGCACCUCAACACUGUAAAUUGCAGCAUGAUUUAUUUUGUAACUUUAAUUUUUGGGCCGGAGUCACAGGUGUCUAAGUGAAAAUGUGCAAUUACCUUCAAAGGAAUAAUAUUCUUUCAUAAAUCAAAUUUCCAAAAGGGGCUUUGCAAAAUUACUGCCAAAUUACGAGAGUUCAUUUCAGUCUGUGUUGGAGAGGAACCGUAAACCAAAGGCAGACCGGCGGCCAAGGCGAUGCAAGCAGAUCUGGCAACAGCGAUCAGGGGAGCUUCUGGCCGGUGGGACUAGUUUCAUAAGCCUCAGAUUGCUUCCACGCUGCUGAAAUGUGUGCUUGUUAACAGAUGGGGUGGCUAAAAGGUAAGUUAAACACUGAAAGCGUUUUGAUCCUUGAGCUGUGUCCAGUGAAUAUUUCAGAGAAGCACUUAAACAGAAAGUUAAAAUAUAUAGAAAUAGAAGAGGCUGCUUUAAAACCAAACCAACCUUAAGUCACAGUCAUAAAGUAUGCAUAAUUCUGAAAGGAGCUAAUUUCCGAAUCUCCUGUUCAUACCUGAUGAAUUUGAUGACAAAAAUAUUUGUUUGAAAUUUGUUCCACAUGCAGCUUUAUCAAAUAUCAAUUGUGUGUGUGAAUGUCAAGUUUUUUCUCUGAAGACGUUACCAGAACAAUGUGUUCUUCGUACGAACGUCCACCCGUAUCAGGGAAUGUGCUCCUGGACUCCUUUCCUUCUGAUUAAAUUUAUUCAAGGAAUGUGUAAGCAGCUUCUGGUGCUAUUUAGGGUCUCUUACUAUACUAACUAAUUAAUGUAUAACUGACAUACACGUACUCAGCUUUAAUAAUGUUAUCCGAUUAAUAAGCAAUAACUACUUCAGUAAAUCAAAAUUAAAUGCCCACUUAUGGCACUGAGUUUCGAACCCUCCUGCCUAGAGACUUUACAUUGAUUGAUUCAUUAAACAUUACAUUGUCUUAUGAAGAUUAGUGCAAAAAUCUUGUGAGCUGCUUUGCCUUUUGUUUUAUAUGGAAUGUUUUACUGAGUAGAGCAAAGUAUGUGUGAAAAAAAGCUGGGCCGAAGAAGGAAAACGUGUGCUGUGCUUCUUGGUAAGAUACAGAUGAACUGUAGAAUAGAAAAAAAAUCAUUUUAGUCAGUUGGGGAACCAUGCGUAGUGCUCAAGUGUUAAUUUUGGAAGCCAGCUUGUAAAUAAAAGCACAGCUCCUGACGUAGGGUGGACUUUGCCGAUGCGCUUUAAGUGCGGUCUGCAGAGCGGCUCCGGUACGGGAGGGCCAGGAGCUCACCCGGGAGCAGAGGACUCAGCCUACCCUUCCGCUCGGGGGGUUCGGACCACGGCAGCUCUCUCCCAGGAGAGGACGUGACCGCCGGGUUUUAGGCAGAGAUGGGCUCUUCUCCAGGCAGGACUGUGAGGGGGAGGAGGAACGCAGAGCUAUGUAUCACUGCGUGGAUUCAUGAGCCCAUUUUGUCAAAAAGUACUGUCCCAGCUGGAACCACCCAAAAGCUUGCUGGUGAUUUCAUAAAAGAUCCUGGAAGCCUGAUUAGGAGUGAAGAAGUAAAUAUCAACAUGAGGUUGGAAGGAAAGAGUGGCAGCCUUCAUUCCUGAAGGGAGAUGUCCCUGCAGGAGGAGUUUAGCCACUUAAUUCCCAAAUGAUCUGCAAAGCCCUGCUUUGCCCAUGGACCUCCAAAUGGGCAAUGUCAGAAUGAUGCAAUCACCCUGAAUUUUAGGUCACAGAUGAAAGUUUCACAAAAGAUGAAAAAUUCAAACUAUUCCUCUUAGUGUAAAGCUUUCCAUUUCAGUUAUACUAGUCUAUUUUGGCUACCUGCCUUAUACUUAAUAGAGAUGUACUUGUUACUUAUGUUUCAAAAAUAAGUAGUUUUCUAUUACAAUAAAGCUACUCUCUAGAGAGAGAUACAUUUUUAGUAUUAUAUUAUUUCCUAGAACUACAUUUCUCCCAAACUUCCAGACAUAUGGCCAACUUCACCACUUAUGCAUUAAAUUUGUUAGCUAUUCCAGUAUUUAUCAUAUGUUCCAAUCCACGUUUUUGCCAUUCUGUACUCAUUAAACGCUAGCAGACAUUAUGCAGAGUGCUGAGCACACAACGAUACCUUGAACACCAAAGGCCAAAUUUACAGAGUGAUUAGUUCAUGGAGAUUUAAUUGGUAAGUGAAGGAAUGUGAGGUAUAGGGAAGGCAGAUGGUUCAUACAAUACCUUACUUGUAUAAUAUAAAUAGAUAUAUGUAGACCAUGAGAAAGACUUACAGUGAUAGAAUUAUAUUUGUUGUCUAUAUUUUGCUUUCAAAUAUAAUGAGUUAUGCAAUCUUUAAGUAUUUUUUAUUGCUGUGGUUUCUAAUGUUGUCCUGACUUGGUAUUUCUUUACAGUUUUCCUUCUAUCUUGAAUAUUUUUGUCUGGCACUGAAAGCUGUUCAUUGUGAAAUGGAAUAAAAUCAGUGAAACACAACAUGUAAGUAGCAUUUCUGGUCACAGCGAGCCUCAGCUUAUGGUAAAUUUUGUCCGAUGAAAUCCCUCGGUGUGGUACUUACUUCUGUGUUCAGGGAUCUUUGGCUUUAACAAAGCUAUUCCAAGGACGAGCAUUUAACAGAAUGAUUACUUUUUACUUUUCUGUGAAACUCUAUUUUUUGCCACUGUGCUAACCUGCAAAAGACGAAGAUACAUCUUCACUUUCCUUUAAAGUUCUUCCAGUCGUUCCUGUUUAACUCAUUCCUCUAACAGUCCGUUUUAAGCGGCAACGCUGACAGCAAAACCUAUGAGGGUUUUCAGAUUCAAUAACCGCGAGUGGAAGGAAGGCAUCCCUCAUCGCAGCUUCAGCUCAGCAACUGCAGAUCCUUAACGCUACCCUCUACACUGGAGGUCUUCAGAGUCAUCCAUCUGCUGAAAGUGCGCUGACAGCUCGGAGCGGUCGUGUAGCGUCCGCAGUGCGCGGUGCUGCUCUCGGAGCUUGGUGCUUUCAGACCCCUUGCAAGGAGGUGACUUAGGAGGCGGCAGCUUGAGCUUUCUGCUUCUGCAGCACCUUCUCUGUGGGGGGACCGUGUUGCCUAGCUGGCCCAAACGUACGCGGGCAGGAAACCUGCCUUCGCCGGGAAAGUGGGCAACGCCGGUCAAGAGAUCGCCGGUCAGGAGAUGCUAAAAUAGAGGUUCGAAGUGCAAACAUGUUGUUGACGAUGGUAAUAUUUUUUUUUUUAAGAAUUUGUAAAAUAUAAGCCUAAUUCAAAAUCUGCACCUCAUCUUUCUGAUUUCCACUCCCGCCUCGCUGUCAGUUUGCUCUUCCCCUGGUCUCGAAACAGCAUUUUGCAAUGGUUUGCAACGACUGCUGUGUGGAUUUUCUGAGCCUUGUGUUGGCCAGAACUGAGCAGUUUGUGUUCAGUUACCGUUUCACAUCUUUCUCUGUCCCUUCCUCCUGAGCUUGUUUUUCCUAAAUACACAGCACAUUUUUGGAGCUACCAGAAUUUCUUUGAAAUAAAAGGUUUCCACAUUUGUCAGUUGGAAUAGUCACUUUCUUUUUUUUUUUUCCCCCUAAAAUAGUUUUCAACACAACUUUUAAUUACAAUAUCUUCCUUAUAUAAUACCAAAAAAAAAAAAAAAAGGGUGAUUUUUAGUUAUGUCAAAGGAAGUUGGGUCACAUAUGGGUGCUUGUAUUAGUGAGAUGACUGGAAUAUAUUGUGAUUGCUGAUCCUCAUUUGCUGUUGAAUUAAAAAAUGUAGAAAGGUGUUUUCUGUAAAACUUUAGAUAUUUUUUCUUCCUCUGUGCUUUCAACAUAUUGCUUUGGUCUGUUCAGGGUAACCGAAAAAGGUAUUUCUCCCAGAGCUUAUCCCAUUUCAUAUUAGAAAGUAUUUAAUUUAAUUUCUCAUCCUUCAGCAAACUACGCAUGUUUCUUAUUAGUGCACCUUUCUAUGAAAAACUUAGUUAUGUGGACAUACAAAAGGGUUUUUUUGUUAUAUGCUAACCACUUUUUUUCUGCAGUGGAUUUAAAGGUGCUUUCCCUGUGAUAGUGAAAGACCUCUAGGUACCCUGAUUCCCAGCUCAGGAGACUAUAUAUGUAUGUAUGUAUGUAUAUGUCUAUACAUAUAUAUAUAUAUAUAUAUAUAUAAAUCUAUAUCUAUAUCUGUAUCUAUAGGGAUAUGUGUAUUUAGGUAAAGACAGAUAAUAUUACCUCUUGUUUAUAGACUGGAGGGAAAAGGCUGAUAAAUUUUCUGUGAAACAAACUCUUUCUAAGGUUUAAACUUGCCAGCUAAACUGUGAAACACGUGCAAGCCCAGUGUCCCGAACCUGCCAGACAGGACCUGCUUUGGUGGCAGCUCUUGGUGCAGCAGAAAGAGCUCGUGGCAGCAGAAAGGCCCGGGCUGCGUAAGCUUUCAGCCCCGUGUCCCUCCAGUUUAAUGGGGCAGUUGUUGAGAAGAGGGCUAAAAAGAUGAUGCUGAAAUCACCAUGGAAAGAGUUUUGCUCUCAUUCGCUGAGAUACAUUUCCAGUGGGCUCUUUUGCUCCUAAUCCAGUUUUCUUCGCUGCCGUCGUAGUCUCGGUGCAUGUCUGCUUUUUGCAUACUAAUAUGCUGCAGGUUCCCCGGGGAAUGUGCUGAUUCUGCAUCAGACUUUGGGGUUAGUUUCAGAGGGACCGGUGGCUGUUUGAGGCUGCUUCUUGCCCGGUCCGCGUCACCUGCCGUAGGGGUUGGGCGCAGCGUUGGUGGCUGAGCCUCGCUGACUUCACCUUCACCUCCAUUACACCUUGUUAGACUAUUUGCACAUGUAUUUUUAGGCCUGAAAAUGUCACCAGCUAAUUAUCAGUUUUAAAGGAGUGUUAAGACUCUUCAUAAAAAUGAUGGCAAACAGUGCAAAAGUAUUUUUUUCAUGUUAAAAUUCCAACAUAAAUGAGGAUUUGGCGUAUAAAUGCCUUAGGAAGGCAGGAUAAGGAUUCAACAUGUAAACUGAAGGUUGGUCACUUCUACAUAUGAGCUUCAGGAUGCUGAUCUUUACUGCAGUACACGAUCACCUGCUCCUUUUCCAUCAAGGCAAUAUAAUGGCAUUCACACUGAAGUGAGUCCAUUUUUAGCUCUAACAAGAAUGGUUUCCUCUGUGCUUUAAAAAAUCACAGAGAAAGGGAGACAUUAUGCGUGAUCACUCUCACAGUGUACCGUUUAGUCCUGCAGCUGAUUCAGGUUUCCUUUGCAGAUAUCGGGAGGGGACACAUUCUGCUCUUUCUGGCAUCAAAGCUUGGAGUCUAAACCACUAAGCAGUCCAUAUUUUCUGCAUGUGCAAAGAAAUUCCUAGUGUUCUGGAGCCGCGGACACUUCAGGCUACACUGAAGAAUAUUCCAUGUAUUUAAGGCGUUUAAAUUGUACAUAUGGACAUAAUGAACUGAUGCACUGACUAUAAUAAAGUAAGUUAUUCUCUUCUAUAUUUAAAUAUUCUGCUUUACAAAAAUCCAUUUAAAGGAGUCCUGGUCAGCUUUCAUUAAGGCUAUAUUUAAACAAUCUCAUUUACCCUCUCCAAUGAAUGUAAAACUUCGGAUUACUGGGCAUGAAGUGUUUUAGAAAGAAAGAAGUUAUUCUGAGUAUUUAGUUGAUUCAAGUGAACCAUAGAGGACCUAUGCAACGAAGCUGAUCAUCUGAGAAUUUCACUCUGUUUGUUUUUCCUCUGUUCCUAUUUGUUUUUCCAGCCUGAAACAUUAAAUACCGGUACUCAAGUAAAUGUAUUUUGUGAAGCAUCAAUUACAGUACAAAAGAAAACCACUGAUUGCACAUCUCUUCACGUGCAUAAAAAUGUUUCUUCAUCUUGCAAUCCCUCUGUAAAUGAUUCUUUCAGAAAGAUUUACUGAAUCCUCGCUGUGGCUGUUUGUCUGGUAGAUUGGAAAUACCUCCUUUCUGAUGUAUGCUUUUCCAAAAAAAAAAAAAAAAAAAAAAAAGAAAGAAAAAAAGGAAAGAAAAGCAAAAGAAACACCCCAAGACCAACUAUAUGUUAUUUAUAUUUGUUUGGAUUUAAAAGUACACUAAAAAAAGUGCAUCUGGCAUUCCAGUCACCUUUGGCAAAAGUUUAAAGAGCCACGAAAUCAAAGCGUAGCAAAUGAGAUCCUGCAGCUACUUGCCCGGUGCCUGGAGAAGCUGCUUGAAAACCCACAUUCUAGGUAGUGCUAGUUUUGUUUCUGGGCACAGAUUGCUUCCUCCGAAUUUUAAAGUGCUUGUAAUAGUGUGUUUUUAAAGGCAAUGUCUUCCAGCUGAACGAAGCGACCCUCGUGCAGCCGGGGUGGGACCCCGGGCGCAAACCCUUGCGGCUGCCGAUCGGUCUGACGAAGCCGGUUGCUCCUGCUCCUCUCUACCUACCUAUCACCUAAUUCUUUAAAGCUCCUUUGACGUGUGUUUACCAGUCGCUAUAUGUCGCGAUAGAGUUACUGCACACCGAGAGCUGUGAAAACGCCCAGGAAAUUUUGCACGCUUUUAAAAACGAUAGCGGGCCGCUUGUCGUAUAAUUAUGUGAAAAAGAAACAUGUGUCUUAAAGUCUUGAAAUAAUCAACAAUACAUAUUUGGAAAUAGAAUAAAAUCCAUCCCUGUGCUGUUCUUCCA